RNAcentral lists this ribosomal RNA (492 nucleotides) under uncultured bacterium. RNAcentral describes it as "partial 16S ribosomal RNA". It matches the Rfam family "Bacterial small subunit ribosomal RNA", at positions 29 to 507 of the family's 1533-position model. The record is from RNAcentral.
AGUGAACGCUGGCGGUAGGCCUAACACAUGCAAGUCGAACGGCAGCACAGUAAGAGCUUGCUCUUACGGGUGGCGAGUGGCGGACGGGUGAGGAAUACAUCGGAAUCUACUUUUUCGUGGGGGAUAACGUAGGGAAACUUACGCUAAUACCGCAUACUACCUACGGGUGAAAGCAGGGGAUCUUCGGACCUUGCGCGAUUGAAUGAGCCGAUGUCGGAUUAGCUAGUUGGCGGGGUAAAGGCCCACCAAGGCGACGAUCCGUAGCUGGUCUGAGAGGAUGAUCAGCCACACUGGAACUGAGACACGGUCCAGACUCCUACGGGAGGCAGCAGUGGGGAAUAUUGGACAAUGGGCGCAAGCCUGAUCCAGCCAUACCGCGUGGGUGAAGAAGGCCUUCGGGUUGUAAAGCCCUUUUGUUGGGAAAGAAAAGCAGCAGGUUAAUACCCCGCUGCUCUGACGGUACCCAAAGAAUAAGCACCGGCUAACUUCGUG